RNAcentral lists this ribosomal RNA (1520 nucleotides) under metagenome. Its description in RNAcentral is "bacterial SSU rRNA". It matches the Rfam family "Bacterial small subunit ribosomal RNA". The record is from RNAcentral.
AGAGUUUGAUCCUGGCUCAGAAUGAACGCUGGCGGCGUGCUUAACACAUGCAAGUCGUACGAGAACGCUUCAGCUUGUUGAAGUUAGUAAAGUGGCGCACGGGUGAGUAACGCGUGGGUAAUCUACCUUCGAAUUGGGGAUAACGUUGCGAAAGUGACGCUAAUACCGAAUAAUAUCAUAAGGACUUUGGUUCUUUUGAUCAAAGAUGGCCUCUCCUUGGAAGCUAUUGUUUGAAGAUGAGCCCGCGUCCCAUUAGCUUGUUGGUGGGGUAAUGGUUUAUUAAGGCAGCGAUGGGUAGCUGGUCUGAGAGGAUGAUCAGCUACACUGGAACUGACACAUGGUUUAGACUCCUACGGGAGGCAGCAGUGAGGAAUUUUGCGCAAUGGGGGAAACCCUGACGCAGCAACGCCGCGUGAGUGAUGAAGGCUUUCGGGUCGUAAAGCUCUGUCAAGUGGGAAGAACUUUUAUGGGGUUAAUAUUCUUAUGUUUUGACGGUACCACUGAAGGAAGCACCGGCUAACUCCGUGCCAGUAGUUGUGGUAAUAUGGGGGGUGUAAGCGUUAUUCGGAUUUACUGGGGGUAAAGCGCGCGUAGGCGGCCGUUUAAGUCAGAUGUGAAAGUUUGGGGUUCAAUCCCGGAAGUGCAUUUGAUACUAUUCGGCUUGAGUAUGGGAGAGGGAAGUGGAAUUUUUGGUGUAGAGGUGAAAUUUGUAGAUAUUAGGAGGAAUAUUGGUGGUGAAGGUGACUUCCUGGACCAAUAUUGACGCUGAGGCGCGAAGGCGUGGGGAGCAAACAGGAUUAGAUAUUCUGGUAGUUCACGCAGUAAACGGUGAUCACUAGGUGUAGCGGGUAUUGACCCCUGCUGUGCCGCAGCUAACGCAUUAAGUGAUCCGCCUGGGGAGUACGGCCGCAAGGUUAAAAUUUAAAGGAAUUGACGGGGGCCCGUAUAAGCGGUGGAGCAUGUGGUUUAAUUCGACGCAACGCGAAGAACCUUACCUGGAUUUGACAUCUCGGGAAUUUCUAUGAAAGUAGGAAGUGCCCUUUGGGGAGCCCGAUGACAGGUGCUGCAUGGCUGUCGUCAGCUCGUGUUGAGAUGUUGGGUUAAGUUUUGUAACGAGCGCAACCCCUAUCUUUAGUUACCAGUAUUUUGGGUGGGGAUUCUAAAGAUACUGCCCCGGUUAAUGGGGAGGAAGGUGGGGAUGACGUCAAGUCCUCAUGGCCUUUAUGUCCAGGGCUACACACGUGCUACAAUGGGCAGUACAGAGGGUUGCGACACUGCGAGGUGGAGCUAAUUCCUUAAAGCUGUUCUAAGUUCGGAUUGGAGUUUGUAAUUUGACUCCAUGAAGCUGGAAUCGCUAGUAAUCGCGGAUCAGUAUGCCGCGGUGAAUACGUUCCCGGGCCUUGUACACACCGCCCGUCAUACCAUGAGAGUUGGUUGUAUUUGAUGUUGUUGGGUAAAUUUAUUAGAGAUGUAGGUGUUUAAGGUAUGGUUGAUGAUUGGGGUGAAGUUGAAAUAAGGUA